This 537-nucleotide ribosomal RNA is filed under the name Triticum aestivum (bread wheat). Its description in RNAcentral is "partial small subunit ribosomal RNA". Lineage: Eukaryota; Viridiplantae; Streptophyta; Magnoliopsida; Poales; Poaceae. The record is from RNAcentral.
AUGUCUUCCUCCUCCGGCGCCGCCCAAAUCAACCUCAAUGGCCAGGUGACCGAGAAGCUGACACACACAAACUAUGUGCUAUGGCGCACGCAAGUUAUUCCCCAGCUGCGUGGCGCCGGUGUCUUCGGCUAUGUCGAUGGCACUCAGCCGGAGCCGGCGAAACUCCUCGUCACCACCAAGGACGGCAAGGAAACUUCAUCGCCCAACCCUCUCCACCCAAUUUGGGUCCGGGAGGAUCAGCAGGUUCUUGGUUAUCUGCUGAACAACCUGACGCGCGAGGUGCUGCUCAUGGUGACCAUGGUCACCACCGCGGGCGCGCUCUGGACGACGCUCGUCGGCAUGUUCUCCUCGCAGUCCGCCAGCCGCAUCAACAACAUCCGAACCUCCCUCAUCAACACGCAGAAGGGCAACCUCUCCGUCGCCUCCUACUUUGCUGCCAUGCGCGGCUACGCCGAUGAGCUAGCCGCCACGGGCAAGGCGAUCCCCAAUGACGAACUUGCCUCCUACAUCAUCCACGGGCUCGACACCGACUAUUAG